Molecule: ribosomal RNA, 497 nt
Filed under: uncultured bacterium
Lineage: Bacteria
Description: partial 16S ribosomal RNA
Rfam family: Bacterial small subunit ribosomal RNA
Source: RNAcentral
GAUGAACGCUGGCGGCGUGCCUAAUACAUGCAAGUCGAGCGAACAGAUGAGGAGCUUGCUCCUCUGACGUUAGCGGCGGACGGGUGAGUAACACGUGGAUAACCUACCUAUAAGACUGGGAUAACUUCGGGAAACCGGAGCUAAUACCGGAUAAUAUAUUGAACCGCAUGGUUCAAUAGUGAAAGACGGUUUUGCUGUCACUUAUAGAUGGAUCCGCGCCGCAUUAGCUAGUUGGUAAGGUAACGGCUUACCAAGGCAACGAUGCGUAGCCGACCUGAGAGGGUGAUCGGCCACACUGGAACUGAGACACGGUCCAGACUCCUACGGGAGGCAGCAGUAGGGAAUCUUCCGCAAUGGGCGAAAGCCUGACGGAGCAACGCCGCGUGAGUGAUGAAGGUCUUCGGAUCGUAAAACUCCGUUAUUAGGGAAGAACAAAUGUGUAAGUAACUAUGCACGUCUUGACGGUACCUAAUCAGAAAGCCACGGCUAACUACGUG